This is a non-coding RNA of Rhamnusium bicolor, 74 nucleotides long. NCBI's taxonomy places the organism in Eukaryota, Metazoa, Arthropoda, Insecta, Coleoptera, Cerambycidae. The record is from the annotation of a GenBank genome assembly.
GGCUCCGUGGUCGAGUGGUAACGAUACUUGCCUCUUCCUCUGGAGUUCCAGGUUCGAUCCCUGAUCGAGAGGCU